Molecule: ribosomal RNA, 431 nt
Filed under: uncultured bacterium
Lineage: Bacteria
Description: partial 16S ribosomal RNA
Rfam family: Bacterial small subunit ribosomal RNA
Source: RNAcentral
AACGAACGCUGGCGGCAGGCCUAACACAUGCAAGUCGAGCGCGCCUUCGGGUGAGCGGCGGACGGGUGAGUAACGCGUGGGAAUAUGCCCUUCUCUACGGAAUAGUCCUGGGAAACUGGGGGUAAUACCGUAUACGCCCUUUGGGGGAAAGAUUUAUCGGGGAAGGAUUAGCCCGCGUUGGAUUAGGUAGUUGGUGGGGUAAUGGCCUACCAAGCCGACGAUCCAUAGCUGGUUUGAGAGGAUGAUCAGCCACACUGGGACUGAGACACGGCCCAGACUCCUACGGGAAGCAGCAGUGGGGAAUCUUAGACAAUGGGGGCAACCCUGAUCGAGCCAUGCCGCGUGAGUGAUGAAGGCCUUAGGGUUGUAAAGCUCUUUCAGCUGGGAAGAUAAUGACGGUACCAGCAGAAGAAGCCCCGGCUAACUCCGUG